RNAcentral lists this ribosomal RNA (254 nucleotides) under uncultured bacterium. RNAcentral describes it as "partial 16S ribosomal RNA". It matches the Rfam family "Bacterial small subunit ribosomal RNA", at positions 524 to 776 of the family's 1533-position model. The record is from RNAcentral.
UACGGGGGGAGCAAGCGUUGUUCGGAUUUACUGGGCGUAAAGGGCGCGUAGGCGGCCAGCACAAGUCAGUUGUGAAAUCUCCGAGCUUAACUCGGAAAGGUCAACUGAUACUGUGCGGCUAGAGUGCAGAAGGGGCAACUGGAAUUCUUGGUGUAGCGGUGAAAUGCGUAGAUAUCAGGAGGAACACCGGUGGCGAAGGCGGGUCUCUGGGCAGUAACUGACGCUGAGGAGCGAAAGCGUGGGGAGCGAACAGG